AGAUUUCGAAAGAAAAAAAAAAAAAAUCAUCACAAAUUUGUUUUGUUCUGCGAAAGGAUGGUUUGAUCUAUACCUUCAAAUUGCAGUCAGAUAACGCUAUCACUCCAGUGGCCUUCCAUCUUUCAAAACGGCUUUUAUCUACAGGUACACGCUGUUUCUCAUCAACCAAUUUACUCGCAUUUUGCACACUCCUUUCUCUGGGACGAGUUCUCGCUUCUCGAAGGAUAGGGCCAUCCUAUUCAAUCAAAUCCAAAGAGAGAACUAAUUGCAAAAUGCCUAAUCUCAAAUCCACCAAUGUCCAAAUGAAAACAUAUAACAAUAUACAUUCCAUUUAAUUUUCAACUGCAAAUCAAAUAUACGAUGAAUCCACAAAGCUUAACAGACGAACCAUCUUUGUGGCAGUUUUAACAAAUUAACCCUAAGAAGUAACACAAGCGGAAGAGAGAUGUAAUAGGAGAGAUUGAAAUAAAGAUUUAGCAAAAUUGAAAUCCAGAUGCAAGAAAUAAGAAUUCAAUUGAAAAUGAAACGAAUUACCCCUUGGUGUAGUCCCUGAGAAGCCAUGAGCAUCAUUUUCGCUCCAUUAGCCACCUCCGACGCCGCCAACGUCAUCUCGUCCGCCAAAACCUUCCCUGAAAUCACAUAUCACGA
This 648-nucleotide long non-coding RNA is filed under the name Cucumis sativus (cucumber). Its description in RNAcentral is "long non-coding RNA (CSAT_LNC002303)". The record is from RNAcentral. Lineage: Eukaryota; Viridiplantae; Streptophyta; Magnoliopsida; Cucurbitales; Cucurbitaceae.